Molecule: ribosomal RNA, 253 nt
Filed under: uncultured bacterium
Lineage: Bacteria
Description: partial 16S ribosomal RNA
Rfam family: Bacterial small subunit ribosomal RNA
Source: RNAcentral
UACGUAGGGGGCAAGCGUUGUCCGGAAUCAUUGGGCGUAAAGCGCGCGUAGGCGGCCCGGUAAGUCCGCUGUAAAAGUCGGGGGCUCAACCCUCGGAUGCCGGUGGAUACUGUCGGGCUUGAGUACGGAAGAGGCGAGUGGAAUUCCUGGUGUAGCGGUGAAAUGCGCAGAUAUCAGGAGGAACACCGGUGGCGAAGGCGGAUCUCUGGGCCGAUACUGACGCUGAGGAGCGAAAGCGUGGGGAGCGAACAGG